Molecule: ribosomal RNA, 478 nt
Filed under: uncultured bacterium
Lineage: Bacteria
Description: partial 16S ribosomal RNA
Rfam family: Bacterial small subunit ribosomal RNA
Source: RNAcentral
GAUGAACGCUGGCGGCGUGCUUAACACAUGCAAGUCGAACGAGAAGUGAAGACGGAAACCUUCGGGCGGAAGGCUUUAUUUCGAGUGGCGGACGGGUGAGUAACGCGUGGGUAACCUGCCUCAUACAGGGGGAUAACAGUUGGAAACGACUGUUAAUACCGCAUAAGACCACAGCACCGCAUGGUGCGGGGGUAAAAGCUCCGGUGGUAUGAGAUGGACCCGCGUUCGAUUAGCCAGUUGGCGGGGUAACGGCCCACCAAAGCGACGAUCGAUAGCCGAUCUGAGAGGAUGACCGGCCACAUUGGGACUGAGACACGGCCCAAACUCCUACGGGAGGCAGCAGUGGGGAAUAUUGCACAAUGGGGGAAACCCUGAUGCAGCGACGCCGCGUGAGUGAAGAAGUAUUUCGGUAUGUAAAGCUCUAUCAGCAGGGAAGAAAAUGACGGUACCUGAGUAAGAAGCCCCGGCUAACUACGUG